AGCGGGGUGUAGCAAUACACUGCCGGCGACCGGCGCACGGGUGCGUAACGCGAAUACAAUUUGCCUUAUACUGGGAGAUAGCCCGGAGAAAUUCGGAUUAAUAUCCCAUAAUACUGAUGUCUCGCAUGAGAUGAUUUUUAAAGCUACGGCGGUAUAAGAUGAGUAUGCGUCUGAUUAGCUAGUUGGUAAGGUAACGGCUUACCAAGGCGACGAUAGGUAGGGGGCCUGAGAGGGUUAUCCCCCACACUGGUACUGAGACACGGUCCAGACUCCUACGGGAGGCAGCAGUGAGGAAUAUUGGACAAUGGAGGCAAGUCUGAACCAGCCAUGCCGCGGGUGGAAAGAAUGCCCUAUGGGUGGAAAACUACUUUUAUUUGGGAAGAAACCUUUCUAGGUGUAAAGAGCUGACGGUACCCAAGGAAUAAGGACCGGCUAACUCCGUGCCAGCAGCC
Molecule: ribosomal RNA, 452 nt
Filed under: uncultured bacterium
Lineage: Bacteria
Description: bacterial SSU rRNA
Rfam family: Bacterial small subunit ribosomal RNA
Source: RNAcentral